GUCUACAGGCAUGCCACCCUGAACGAGUCAGAUUCCGUCUGAUCUCGGAAGCUAAGCAGGUAUGGGCCUGGUUAAUACUUGGGUGAGAGAUCACCUAGGAAGACCAGGGGCCAUAGGCA
Molecule: ribosomal RNA, 119 nt
Filed under: Pteropus alecto (black flying fox)
Lineage: Eukaryota; Metazoa; Chordata; Mammalia; Chiroptera; Pteropodidae
Source: RNAcentral